Corvus hawaiiensis (hawaiian crow) is the source of this 789-nucleotide long non-coding RNA. RefSeq lists it as uncharacterized. The record is from RefSeq and is a predicted model, not a curated record. Lineage: Eukaryota; Metazoa; Chordata; Aves; Passeriformes; Corvidae. The transcript has 3 exons.
GGGGAGCGGGAGCGGGGCCGGGGAGCGGGGCCGGGGCUCCGCGCUCCGCCCCGGGGAGGGAUCGCCUGGCUCUGCAGUGUAAAAUACAGCUUUCCAGAAUGCCAGAAAGAGGCUCAGCGGCGCAGCGGGAGGAGAGCACCGGGGGCUGCGAGAGGGGCUGGCAGCGAGGGGCUCCCGGGUGCCAAGGAGCUGCUCUGUCCUGUGCCAGGAUGGGCCACCAGAUCUGCUCCGUGGAGAGCGAAUGGGACACUCUCUACAGGAGCUGGUGUUGGGGAAGCCAGCACAGCACAGCUCCUCACCACCACUUCAGCUUUAAAAUGCAUUUUUAAAUGUGCCCUUUCCUGAUUUACUCAGUUUUACCUUUUUUUAUUCUCAGUUCCUCUCUGAGGGGGAGCAAAGCUCAGUGAGAGCUGUGCUCUGCUGAUAUUGAGUGAGAGCUGUGUUAGCUACUGUUUGUAAUUACCACUGCCAAAGAAAUCCCCAGUCUUACUGAGUGCCAUUCCGUGAGGAUCCGUGAUUUCCUGCCAGUUGCACAACUGGAUUGGGCACAGCUCAGACUUACCCGAGAGCAGCCACAACCCUCCCGAGCUCCCUGCUCCGUGAAGCUUCACCCCAGCAGAGCAGCACAAGUGCCCCAGUGACACGGGACCGUGAGGGCUGGAAGGGAGGCAAAUCCUUAUGGGAAACUGAAGGAAAACCCUGCAAACGAGCCUUGCUUAAUAAACUUUCAGUUAUGAAGUGUAAUCUCGUAAGAGACCAUUGUCAAAUAAAUUCUGCCAGUGAAAUUUA